This is a long non-coding RNA of Astatotilapia calliptera (eastern happy), 933 nucleotides long. The record is from Ensembl. Lineage: Eukaryota; Metazoa; Chordata; Actinopteri; Cichliformes; Cichlidae.
UAUUAACACUACUAUGCUGAUUACGAUAACCUGGGAUUGUGUAUAGAACAAUAUUACUAACCAUCAGUACAUUUUUACAUGGUCGAUUGUUAGUUGUUCCAUUCCUAAUUGUGACACUAAUGCUUUAUGACUAGUAUUUUGAUGCUUCAUCAGUUUUGGCCAAGCAAAAUUUGGCCUGUGCAAAAUCUACAUCAUUUCCCAGUAAACUUAUUACCCAAGGUAUUGUUGACUUCAUCCAGUUCAGCAGCAUUGCCAUGUGUAUAGUUAGUAUAAUAGAACUGGCUGUCAUUGUCCCCUCUGUGCUCAUGGUGUUUGAUUGGUAGGCAGAAAGCCUCUUUAAGCCCAUACAUUUAUACUGUGCAAUAUUUUUUAGAUGACCAGGGGAAUGAUGCCUGUGUGACUUCUGGUUCACCUCCUGUCCCUGACUCAGUUACUAAAGGUUUACGUGUUUCAUCAAGGCGGUGUGUGAAGAGACCAUGGUCUGAGGAGGAGAUAGGAGCGGUGAUGAAACAUAUGAAGCCUUUUAUUGAAAACGGUAUCACUGUCACCAACCAGCAGUGUCUGAAGUGCAAAGAAAAGGAACAACCUAUCUUGGAGACGAGAUCUAUUCAAAACAUUUGAGAUUUUGUGCGCAACAGAGGACUGGCCUUUAAAAAAAAAAAAAAAAAAAUGUUAAACACUAAAUGCACUUUUUGACAGUCUGAGCCUUUACCUUUCUGGGCCUGAUUUCAAGGUUAGUGUUCUCCAUUCAAAAAGUAUGUAGUUGACUUCACUGUGCUCACAGGCAGUGUUUUGUUUUGAUGUGUGGUUAGCCUGAGUCUUUUAAUGCCAGGAUUCACUUUUAUUUUCCUUCAAUAAUUGUUACAAUGCUGUCCUUUUAAGGAAUUGAUUAUUGAGUUGGUUAUAUUAAAUAUAAUUCAGUAAUUCAACAAA